This 497-nucleotide ribosomal RNA is filed under the name uncultured bacterium. RNAcentral's name for it is "partial 16S ribosomal RNA". It matches the Rfam family "Bacterial small subunit ribosomal RNA", at positions 28 to 507 of the family's 1533-position model. The record is from RNAcentral.
GAUGAACGCUGGCGGCGUGCCUAAUACAUGCAAGUCGAGCGAACGGACGCGACGCUUGCUGCGCUGAUGUUAGCCGCGGACGGGAGAGUAACACGUGGAUACCCUCCCUAUAAGUCUGGUAUAACUUCGAGAAACCGGAGCUAAUACCGGAUGAUAUUUUGAAGCGCGUGGUUCAAAAGUGAAAUACGGUCUUGCUGUCACUUAUAGAUGCAUCCGGGCUGCAUUAGCUGGUUGGUCCGUUAACGGGUUACCAAGGCAACUAUGCAUAGCCGACGUGAGAGGCGGGUAGCCGACACUGGAGCUGAGACACGGUCCUGACUACUGAGAUAGGGAGCAGUAGGGAAUGUGCCGCAGUGGGCGAAAGCAUGGCGGAGCGACGCCGAGUGUGUGAUGAAGGUCUUCGGAUCGUAAAACUCUCUUAUUAGGGAAGAACCGAUGUGUACGUAACUGUGCACAGAGUGACGGUACCUAAUAAGAAAGCCACGGCUAACUACGUG